GGCGCGGUAGCCAAGUGGUAAGGCGAAGGUCUGCAAAACCUUUAUCGGCGGUUCGAUUCCGCCCCGCGCCUCCA
RNAcentral lists this transfer RNA (74 nucleotides) under Acidobacteria bacterium 13_2_20CM_58_27. RNAcentral describes it as "tRNA-Cys". It matches the Rfam family "tRNA". Rfam says of the family: Transfer RNA (tRNA) molecules are approximately 80 nucleotides in length. Their secondary structure includes four short double-helical elements and three loops (D, anti-codon, and T loops). Further hydrogen bonds mediate the characteristic L-shaped molecular structure. tRNAs have two regions of fundamental functional importance: the anti-codon, which is responsible for specific mRNA codon recognition, and the 3' end, to which the tRNAs corresponding amino acid is attached (by aminoacyl-tRNA synthetases). tRNAs cope with the degeneracy of the genetic code in two manners: having more than one tRNA (with a specific anti-codon) for a particular amino acid; and 'wobble' base-pairing, i.e. permitting non-standard base-pairing at the 3rd anti-codon position. The record is from RNAcentral. Lineage: Bacteria; Pseudomonadati; Acidobacteriota. RNAcentral also lists the same sequence under 3 other names.